UUUUUUAACUGCUCGAGACUUGGCCAGUUAGAAUGGUUGAAUUGGCCAGUUUAUCGAUAAGGCAGGUUAAACCGCCUACAGGCCCAUGUCCUGUUAACCAUUCUGGUUCAAUUUUACAAACACUGCGUGAUGGUCUCCUUUGGUUUGAAAAUGUCCAUUGCUCAAGAUGUGGAUGUCCCUAUGCCAUGGCGUACCAUGUACCACACAUCCUUAGCCUAUGGUAUUAUGUACUCUCCCUUUUCCGGUUGUCUUGGUUUUUAGGUUUCAAAGAAUAGAGGGGGAGUUAUUUGUCAUAGGUGUUAGGUUUCAAAGAAUAGAGGGGGGAGUUAUUUGUUGGUUAUGGUUUCUGUGAGGCUGAGGCCUUAAACAAUCAAAGGAAAGGUGCUCAUUAAGAUAGCAUUGAAAGAUGUGGCUUCAGAAAAUAUUUAUGAUGACUUGAAAAUUUGUUUUCAUUUGUAAUUAUAAAAUUUAAAGCUUAAAAAAAGUGUAGAUCGAGCAGAUCUUUGGACACUUGAAAAUCUUGCAAAUUGACAGUCUAGAUAAUGCAUUACAAGAUGCACUAUUUCCAAGACUUGAAGUCCAGCCAUUUUACAUCCAUGGAUCUUAAGGUCGAGAUGAUCGAACUGAGGGCUUUGUGGCGUUGAAACAACUUAUUCUAGUAAAUUUUCGAGGUGUGCGUUAGUUUGAUUGUUUAAGGCCUCAACUAUAGUUAUUUGGGUUUUGGUAGGCUACACUACUUGGUGGUGUAGAUCCUUAAAGUGCUCAAUAUUUUUGGACAUUAAAAUACCCUUGAAUUGUAAUACAAAAAUUUUCAAGUAGGGGCAUUUUUUAUCAUUUAAAAGGGUAGAAUGGAUAUUUUUAUAAAAAAUAAUGACAUUCUAUUAGUAGUUCAAAACAAUUAUUGCAU
RNAcentral lists this long non-coding RNA (907 nucleotides) under Amborella trichopoda. Its description in RNAcentral is "long non-coding RNA (ATRI_LNC002508)". The record is from RNAcentral. Lineage: Eukaryota; Viridiplantae; Streptophyta; Magnoliopsida; Amborellales; Amborellaceae.